GGCGCUAUAGUGUAGUGGUUAUCACUCGAGAUUUUGACAAAUUUCAUGAUUCUCGAAACCCAGGUUCGAUACCUGGUAGCGCCU
This 84-nucleotide transfer RNA is filed under the name Galerina marginata CBS 339.88. It matches the Rfam family "tRNA". From Rfam's summary of the family: Transfer RNA (tRNA) molecules are approximately 80 nucleotides in length. Their secondary structure includes four short double-helical elements and three loops (D, anti-codon, and T loops). Lineage: Eukaryota; Fungi; Basidiomycota; Agaricomycetes; Agaricales; Galerinaceae. The record is from Rfam by way of RNAcentral.